RNAcentral lists this ribosomal RNA (305 nucleotides) under uncultured bacterium. RNAcentral's name for it is "bacterial SSU rRNA". It matches the Rfam family "Bacterial small subunit ribosomal RNA", at positions 333 to 635 of the family's 1533-position model. The record is from RNAcentral.
GUUGUCCUACGGGACGCAGCAGUGAGGAAUAUUGGUCAAUGGGCGGGAGCCUGAACCAGCCAAGUCGCGUGAGGGAAGACGGUCCUAUGGAUUGUAACCUCUUUUGUCGGGGAGCAAAGAGACCACGUGUGGUCAAAAGCGAGAGUACCCGAAGAAAAAGCAUCGGCUAACUCCGUGCCAGCAGCCGCGGUAAUACGGAGGAUCCGAGCGUUAUCCGGAUUUAUUGGGUUUAGAGGGAGCGUAGGCGGAUUAUUAAGUCAGUUGUGAAAGUUUGCGGCUCAACCGUAAAAUUGCAGUUGAUACUG